This 483-nucleotide long non-coding RNA is filed under the name Salvia miltiorrhiza (redroot sage). RNAcentral describes it as "long non-coding RNA (SMIL_LNC008735)". Lineage: Eukaryota; Viridiplantae; Streptophyta; Magnoliopsida; Lamiales; Lamiaceae. The record is from RNAcentral.
UAAUUAAUUCAAAUUUUGUUACUUCUUUUCAAAUUUCAUAUACAAAACAAAAGCAUAUAUACAUUCACUUGCAUUGCAUGUUCUAGUAAAGAAUAGAAUUUUGCUCUUGUAAUUAACCAAAAUGCCUUUUUUUUGGCAAGAUGCAAUUUUGAUGUGAUGAAUCCCUUCCUACACACAGAUUUGUUUUGUAGGUGUGAAAGAGAAAAAAGGAAGGGUGUCUUUUUUCUUUACUCUUUCCUCUUUGUGAGAAUCCUUAUCCACCCAUAUUUAACCUUCUUCUCUGUUUGGACCGACCUCUUCCGCUUGAUGAGGUGGAUGAGGUGGCCAACCCGCCUCCGCCACCUCAGCGAGCCGCCUGGCUUCGUGUGCUCGGGGAUCACACUCUUGCUCGACAUUUCAUUAUGUGAUGACAUUUUCCCUUUGUCCCAUGAGGCAACGCCAUUCUCUUCGAACUUUAUUGAUAUGAAUGACUCUGCAUCAUUC